GUGCUCACUUCGGCAGCACAUAUACUAAAAUUGGAAUGAUACGGAGAAGAUUAGCAUGGCCCCUGAGCAAGAAUGACACACAAAUUCAUGAAGCGUUCCAUAUUUUU
This 107-nucleotide small nuclear RNA is filed under the name Meriones unguiculatus (Mongolian gerbil). Lineage: Eukaryota; Metazoa; Chordata; Mammalia; Rodentia; Muridae. The record is from RNAcentral.